This 253-nucleotide ribosomal RNA is filed under the name uncultured bacterium. RNAcentral's name for it is "partial 16S ribosomal RNA". It matches the Rfam family "Bacterial small subunit ribosomal RNA", at positions 524 to 776 of the family's 1533-position model. The record is from RNAcentral.
UACAGAGGGUGCAAGCGUUGCUCGGAAUCAUUGGGCGUAAAGGGUAGGUAGGUGGUCUCGUUUGUCUGGGGUGAAAGCCUUGAGCUUAACUCAAGAAGUGCCUUAGAAACGGCGAGACUGGAGUCUUGGAGAGGGUCGUGGAAUUCCCGGUGUAGCGGUGAAAUGCGCAGAUAUCAGGAAGAACACCCGUGGCGAAGGCGGUUCUCUGGGACGGUACUGACGCUGAGACGCGAAAGCGUGGGGAGCGAACAGG